AGACCCAACACGGCCAGCACCACGUGGCUCCAUGAGGACUAAACUGGAGCUACGAAUAAGGUCACUGCGAGUUACCCUAGAAUCCUCCCUUCACUGACUUCCAUUCCUCAGCAAGUCUUGUCCACUCUCCCUUUGAAGGUACCUGGUGCCAAGUAACUUGUCAGAGUUUGCAAAUCUCCAUUUACAAAGUGAAUAACUUACCAUCAACUUGUUUAGAAAGGAACCCCAUCUGCCUUCAAAUAAAUAUAUGUGGGGAGUCAGUGAAAACAUUCAUGUAUUUUUGGCUGAGCGAGAAGAAAUG
Long non-coding RNA from Zalophus californianus (California sea lion), 301 nucleotides. RefSeq lists it as uncharacterized. The transcript is spliced from 4 exons. The record is from RefSeq and is a predicted model, not a curated record. Lineage: Eukaryota; Metazoa; Chordata; Mammalia; Carnivora; Otariidae.